CAGUCGCCACGGUAAUACGGAGGGUGCAAGCGUUAAUCGGAAUUACUGGGCGUAAAGCGCACGCAGGCGGUCUGUCAAGUCGGAUGUGAAAUCCCCGGGCUCAACCUGGGAACUGCAUUCGAAACUGGCAGGCUAGAGUCUUGUAGAGGGGGGUAGAAUUCCAGGUGUAGCGGUGAAAUGCGUAGAGAUCUGGAGGAAUACCGGUGGCGAAGGCGGCCCCCUGGACAAAGACUGACGCUCAGGUGCGAAAGCGUGGGAGCAAACAGGAUUAGAUACCCGAGUAGUCCCUGUCUCUUAUACC
RNAcentral lists this ribosomal RNA (301 nucleotides) under uncultured bacterium. RNAcentral's name for it is "partial 16S ribosomal RNA". It matches the Rfam family "Bacterial small subunit ribosomal RNA", at positions 509 to 808 of the family's 1533-position model. The record is from RNAcentral.